This 274-nucleotide ribosomal RNA is filed under the name uncultured bacterium. RNAcentral's name for it is "partial 16S ribosomal RNA". It matches the Rfam family "Bacterial small subunit ribosomal RNA", at positions 84 to 354 of the family's 1533-position model. The record is from RNAcentral.
CCCGCCGGCGACCGGCGCACGGGUGAGUAACACGUAUGAAACCUGCCCGUAGCAGGGGGAUAAGCGGAAGAAAUUCCGUCUAAUACCGCGUAACAACCCGAGGAGGCAUCUCCUCGGGUUUAAAGGAAGCGAUUCCGGCUACGGAUGGUCAUGCGUCGCAUUAGCUAGUUGGCGGGGUAACGGCCCAUCAAGGCGACGAUGCGUAGGGGUUCUGAGAGGAAGGUCCCCCACACUGGUACUGAGACACGGACCAGACUCCUACGGAAGGCAGCAG